UACGUAGGGGGCGAGCGUUGUCCGGAGUUACUGGGCGUAAAGGGCACGCAGGCGGUCCGGUAAGGCUGCGGGGACAGUGAGCGGCUUAACUGCUCAAGGGUCGCAGCGACUGCCGGGCUGGAGGGCCAGAGAGGGACCUGGAAUUCCGGGUGGAGCGGUGAAAUGCGUAGAGAUCCGGAGGAACACCAAUGGCGAAGGCAAGGUCCUGGCUGGUUCCUGACGCUCGGGUGCGAAAGCCAGGGGAGCGAACGGG
Molecule: ribosomal RNA, 253 nt
Filed under: uncultured bacterium
Lineage: Bacteria
Description: partial 16S ribosomal RNA
Rfam family: Bacterial small subunit ribosomal RNA
Source: RNAcentral